Long non-coding RNA from Prionailurus viverrinus (fishing cat), 149 nucleotides. RefSeq lists it as uncharacterized. Lineage: Eukaryota; Metazoa; Chordata; Mammalia; Carnivora; Felidae. The transcript is spliced from 3 exons. The record is from RefSeq and is a predicted model, not a curated record.
UGCCGUGCAUCUUCUUCAGGCCAUUCUUGUUGUGCUUCUUGGCAAAGUGUAUGUUCCUCAGGAACUUGGGGUCUGCCCCCUUAAGAGACUCAUAUCUUUGUUACUGGGUCUUACAAACAUCACAGAGCCCACUUCAAAUCCUCUGUCUC